AUACGUAGGGGGCGAGCGUUGUCCGGAAUGAUUGGGCGUAAAGCGCGCGUAGGCGGCCCGGUAAGUCUGGCGUGAAAGUCCUGUUUUUAAGAUGGGAAUUGCUUUGGAUACUGUCGGGCUUGAGUGCAGUAGAGGUAAGUGGAAUUACCAGUGUAGCGGUGAAAUGCGUAGAGAUUGGGAGGAACACCAAUGGCGUAGGCGACUUUCUGGAGUGUACCGGACGCUCAGGCGCGCAAGUGUGGGGAGCAAACAGGAUGAGAUUCCCGGGUAGUCCCCACUAUGAAGGAUGAAUGCUAGUUGGAGUGAGCGUCGACCCUUUGUGCGCUGGAGGCAAAGCGAUAAGCGAUACGCCUGGGGACUACUGCUGCAAGGUUGAUGCUGAAAUUAAUGGACGGGG
RNAcentral lists this ribosomal RNA (397 nucleotides) under uncultured bacterium. RNAcentral's name for it is "partial 16S ribosomal RNA". It matches the Rfam family "Bacterial small subunit ribosomal RNA", at positions 523 to 918 of the family's 1533-position model. The record is from RNAcentral.